RNAcentral lists this ribosomal RNA (702 nucleotides) under uncultured archaeon. RNAcentral describes it as "bacterial SSU rRNA". It matches the Rfam family "Archaeal small subunit ribosomal RNA", at positions 21 to 731 of the family's 1478-position model. The record is from RNAcentral.
AGGCCACUGCUAUCGGAGUUCGAUUAAGCCAUGCGAGUCGAGAGGUGCAAGACCUCGGCAUACUGCUCAGUAACACGUGGACAAUCUACCCUAAGGUGGGGGAUAACCCCGGGAAACUGGGGAUAAUACCCCAUAGACUAUAGAUGCUGGAAUGCUUUGUAGUUGAAAGGUCAGCCGCCAUAGGAUGGGUCUGCGGCCGAUUAGGUAGUUGUUGGGGUAACGGCCCAACAAGCCUGUAAUCGGUACGGGUUGUGGGAGCAAGAGCCCGGAGAUGGAUUCUGAGACACGAAUCCAGGCCCUACGGGGCGCAGCAGGCGCGAAAACUCUACAAUGCGGGAAACCGUGAUAAGGGAACUCCGAGUGCCCGUUAAAUCGGGCUGUCCAUCAGUUUAAAAAACUGGUGAAGAAAGGGCCGGGCAAGACCGGUGCCAGCCGCCGCGGUAAUACCGGCGGCUCGAGUGGUGGCCACUAUUACUGGGCUUAAAGCGUUCGUAGCUGGUUUGUUAAGUCUCUGGGGAAAUCUUCCGGCUUAACCGGAAGGCGUCUCAGGGAUACUGGCAGACUAGGGACCGGAAGAGGUGAGGGGUACUCCAGGGGUAGGAGUGAAAUCCUGUAAUCCUUGGGGGACCACCUGUGGCGAAGGCGCCUCACCAGGACGGCUCCGACAGUGAGGGACGAAAGCUGGGGGAGCAAACCGGAUUA